UCCUAUCCGUCCGUCAUUGCUUCCUUUUUCCUCUCCUUUGCUCAUCGAAAGCCCUCCCCUCGCGGCUGUGUUUUCUCUUGCCUUUUAUAUGGAACACUUCAACCCUAAAAAACCCAGCAACCUCUGUCCAAAUUUGCAGCCAAGGGCCUGCACCCGAAUCUUCACUUUGCAAGUCGCGGCAACUUGCAUGCCGCGAAUCAAUUUCUUUUUUUUUUUUUUUUUUUUUUUUUUUUUUUUUUUUUUAAAAACUUAAUAAAUACAGAAAUGAUAAAAUAUAAAUAAUAAUAACAAAUUGACAAAAAACCAGGUAAUAAUAAUAGUAAUAAUAAUGAAAAUA
RNAcentral lists this long non-coding RNA (337 nucleotides) under Coffea arabica (coffee). RNAcentral's name for it is "long non-coding RNA (CARA_LNC008031)". The record is from RNAcentral. Lineage: Eukaryota; Viridiplantae; Streptophyta; Magnoliopsida; Gentianales; Rubiaceae.